GACGAACGCUGGCGGCGUGCUUAACACAUGCAAGUCGAACGGAAAGGCCCUGCUUUUGUGGGGUGCUCGAGUGGCGAACGGGUGAGUAACACGUGAUUAACCUGCCCUUGACUUUGGGAUAACUUCAGGAAACUGGGGCUAAUACCGGAUAGGAGCUCCUGCUGCAUGGUGGGUGUUGGAAAGUUUCGGCGGUUGGGGAUGGACUCGCGGCUUAUCAGCUUGUUGGUGGGGUAGCGGCUUACCAAGGCUUUGACGGGUAGCCGGCCUGAGAGGGUGACCGGCCACAUUGGGACUGAGAUACGGCGCAGACUACUAUGGGAGGCAGCAGUGGGGAAUAUUGCACAAUGGGCGGAAGCCUGAUGCAGCAACGCCGCGUGCGGGAUGACGGCCUUCGGGUUGUAAACCGCUUUCGCCUGUGACGAAGCGUGAGUGACGGUAAUGGGUAAAGAAGCACCGGCUAACUACGUG
Molecule: ribosomal RNA, 468 nt
Filed under: uncultured bacterium
Lineage: Bacteria
Description: partial 16S ribosomal RNA
Rfam family: Bacterial small subunit ribosomal RNA
Source: RNAcentral